UGUCGUGGCAGUCUGGAGGCUGGUCAUUCUCGGGACUUAGCUCAAACUUCUCCUCCUGGGGUGGGGGACCUUCCACUCUCUGCAGGUGGUAGCCGGCCACGAAAGGAUGGGCAGCCCCUUGCAGCGACCGCCCCCAGCCACGCAAUUUGGGAUUUGCUGUUUCAGCUGUUUUCUGAACAUGGAGGAGAAAACCACGGAUUGGGGAGAACAGUUACAAUGCCUGCUGGCUUGCUACAGUUAAAUGUUGAGAGGAUAAGGAUUCUGGACAACUGUGACACAUAUAUCUGAGAGAGAAAGCAGAUGAGGACGUUGUUUAUUGUGAAGUAUCAUAUGGAUUGGUUGAAGCGCCCUUGUAUCCCAAGAAUAAAUUCCCUUGAUUGUGGUGAAUGACUUUUUAAAAUGCACUGUUGGAUUCAGUUUGCUGACUUAAGAAUUUUAAACAUGAUUGGACUCAAAGUUAUUUGUUCACAUCGCCUCCUUGGUCCCCACCACAGCUUCUGUGAGAGACAGAGGACUUCUUUGCAUGUUCUGAGCACCCGCUCUGGGCCAGAUGGACUCUCAAAAUUUUUGUUGUUGUCGUUUUUUGCUUUAUUUUCUUAACUUUCAUUGUCUCCUCUGACCCACAAAAUGAACUUGCAGUAUGAAGAACGCAAGGCUUGGCCAUAUCAUGUUUCAGGCACACUGUAUGAAGCUGUAGUACCGCACUGACGUCUGAGUAUCACGAGACCAAAUUUUAUUAUAAAGGAUGGUAAACAGAGGUCUGGGUCUACUGAUUUUUUAUCUCUACAAAUAAUACUGAGAUACCAGUAAAUGUCCUGUGUCUUGGAAGAAGAAGAAAAGUUUCCCAUGGGAGCCUGAGAAAAGAGAGCUGGUAAUGUGAAGGAGAGGUAUGUUAAAGCAGUGUCUAUAGAAGAGAACAAAAGUAGGUCCCUCAUCCUGGGCAAAAGCCAAGUGUGUGGUUUCAAGGGGAGUGAGCCCAGUAGAGAGAGGUCACUGCUUACCAAUACGGUCCAUGACUUGGAACAUCUGGACAUGAAGCAUAUUCAAGAGAUGGUGAGGGGUCAUGUGGUUCUCUAUCAUGUCCCAUUUCAUCUUCACAACAUACUAUAGACUGAAAGUCUGUGUCCCACCCAAAUUCGUAUCUUGAAACCUAACCCCCAGUGUGAUGGUGUGAGGAGGUGAGGUCUUUGGGAGGUCAUGCGGCUGGAGCCUUCAGGAUGGGAUUAGUGCUCUUAUAAGACAGUCCCCAGAGAGUCUCAUCUGCUGUCCUAUCCUGUGGAGACAUGACGAGAAGACAUCAGGAGACACUGAAUCUGCUGGACCCUGGAUCUCGGACGUCUGAUCUCCAGACCGUGAGGAAUGAACUUCUGUUGCUUAUAA
Molecule: long non-coding RNA, 1380 nt
Organism: Lutra lutra (Eurasian river otter)
Lineage: Eukaryota; Metazoa; Chordata; Mammalia; Carnivora; Mustelidae
Exons: 4
Source: RefSeq, a predicted model, not a curated record